This 490-nucleotide ribosomal RNA is filed under the name uncultured bacterium. Its description in RNAcentral is "partial 16S ribosomal RNA". It matches the Rfam family "Bacterial small subunit ribosomal RNA", at positions 30 to 507 of the family's 1533-position model. The record is from RNAcentral.
AUUGAACGCUGGCGGCAGGCCUAACACUUGCAAGUCGAACGGUAACAGGAAGAAGCUUGCUUCUUUGCUGACGAGUGGCGGACGGGUGAGUAAUGUCUGGGAAACUGCCUGAUGGAGGGGGAUAACUACUGGAAACGGUAGCUAAUACCGCAUAACGUCGCAAGACCAAAGAGGGGGACCUUCGGGCCUCUUGCCAUCGGAUGUGCCCAGAUGGGAUUAGCUAGUAGGUGGGGUAACGGCUCACCUAGGCGACGAUCCCUAGCUGGUCUGAGAGGAUGACCAGCCACACUGGAACUGAGACACGGUCCAGACUCCUACGGGAGGCAGCAGUGGGGAAUAUUGCACAAUGGGCGCAAGCCUGAUGCAGCCAUGCCGCGUGUAUGAAGAAGGCCUUCGGGUUGUAAAGUACUUUCAGCGGGGAGGAAGGGAGUAAAGUUAAUACCUUUGCUCAUUGACGUUACCCGCAGAAGAAGCACCGGCUAACUCCGUG